This 312-nucleotide ribosomal RNA is filed under the name Triticum aestivum (bread wheat). Its description in RNAcentral is "partial small subunit ribosomal RNA". Lineage: Eukaryota; Viridiplantae; Streptophyta; Magnoliopsida; Poales; Poaceae. The record is from RNAcentral.
AUGUUCUGCAAGGAGUCAGAGUUGCAUCGGGGCGCCAAGCUUGUCUACAUGGGUGACAGCAAGUUCUGCCUCAUUGAGUCCCUGUUCCACAAGGAUGACCAGCAUUUGCGCCGUGAUCCUACUGAGAUGGAUCUCUGUGACGGCUGCCCGCCUAGGCGCCGCCGCGUGCUCCACGUGACCACGUUUGGCCUCAAGUACAAUACAGCAGGAAAUCUGCAGGUCAUGCUGCGACAAGCUCACGCGUGCAUGAUGUUUAAGCGGCCUCAUGAUUUCACGGAGCCAUCACUGGAGCCUUUGGCAUUUUGGAUCUAA